Molecule: transfer RNA, 83 nt
Organism: Paracoccidioides sp.
Lineage: Eukaryota; Fungi; Ascomycota; Eurotiomycetes; Onygenales; Ajellomycetaceae
Rfam family: tRNA
About the family: Transfer RNA (tRNA) molecules are approximately 80 nucleotides in length. Their secondary structure includes four short double-helical elements and three loops (D, anti-codon, and T loops).
Source: Rfam
GGGCAAUUAGCUCAGUUGGUAGAGCGUUCGCUUUGCAUUCCCCCGCGUGCGAAAGGUCGUGAUUUCGAUUAUCACAUUGUCCA